ACCAGAGCUGACUGUGACUCUGCAUGUUUUGUGUCCCUGUUCUGGAAAUCCCUCUAAUGUCUUAGAAGAGCAACUCAUAAUGAAUUAAGAGCCAGGAGUGUCAAACCCUUGCAGUUUCUUACAAUAAACUUGAGAGAAGUAACUAUCACGGAACUGCAAACAUCAAGAUCCCCUUUCUGUCAGCCUUGUACUUUCUCAGACUAUCCAACAUGUACUGUUGUUAAACAUAAAUGGAAAGAGGACACCCAUCAGGAACACAAGAGAGGACUAAUUAGGUUGUGGCUCAGCACCAGACAGAAAAGAUGCCUAUUUGCUUUGUAGUGCUGGCUGCAAUCUGGAGUCCUUGGUGAUUCUUGUGAGGAAAUACUGCACCUCCCUAAGGCAUGCUUGCUUUGGUACAAGCUGGAUGGCCACUGGAAAGCAGAACUACAGGAAAAAGCGUGCCUGGCACAGGUAGAGUGUGAUUAACUCUGUUGACUCACAGUCAACUCUGGUGAUUAAGGGAGAUGUGUUUCCCCUUAUUUUAA
RNAcentral lists this long non-coding RNA (527 nucleotides) under Anas platyrhynchos platyrhynchos (common mallard). RNAcentral's name for it is "lncRNA (ENSAPLG00000030367.1)". The record is from RNAcentral. Lineage: Eukaryota; Metazoa; Chordata; Aves; Anseriformes; Anatidae.